AACGAACGCUGGCGGCAUGCCUAACACAUGCAAGUCGAACGAGACCUUCGGGUCUAGUGGCGCACGGGUGCGUAACGCGUGGGAACCUGCCCUUAGGUUCGGAAUAACUCCCCGAAAGGGGUGCUAAUACCGGAUAAUGUCUUCGGACCAAAGAGUUAUCGCCUUUGGAUGGGCCCGCGUUGGAUUAGCUAGUUGGUAGGGUAAAAGCCUACCAAGGCGACGAUCCAUAGCUGGUCUGAGAGGAUGAUCAGCCACACUGGGACUGAGACACGGCCCAGACUCCUACGGGAGGCAGCAGUGGGGAAUAUUGGACAAUGGGCGAAAGCCUGAUCCAGCAAUGCCGCGUGAGUGAUGAAGGCGUUAGGGUUGUAAAGCUCUUUUACCCGGGAUGAUAAUGACAGUACCGGGAGAAUAAGCACCGGCUAACUCCGUG
Molecule: ribosomal RNA, 433 nt
Filed under: uncultured bacterium
Lineage: Bacteria
Description: partial 16S ribosomal RNA
Rfam family: Bacterial small subunit ribosomal RNA
Source: RNAcentral